UCCACGGGAGGCAGCAGUGGGGAAUAUUGCACAAUGGGCGCAAGCCUGAUGCAGCCAUGCCGCGUGUAUGAAGAAGGCCUUCGGGUUGUAAAAGUACUUUCAGCAGUGAGGAAGGUGGGUAUGUUAAUAGCAUAUCAUUUGACGUUAGCUGCAGAAGAAGCACCGGCUAACUCCGUGCCAGCAGCCGCGGUAAUACGGAGGGUGCGAGCGUUAAUCGGAAUUACUGGGCGUAAAGCGCAUGCAGGUGGUUUGUUAAGUCAGAUGUGAAAGCCCGGGGCUCAACCUCGGAAUUGCAUUUGAAAACUGGCAAACUAGAGUACUGUAGAGGGGGUAGAAUUUCAGGUGUAGCGGUGAAAUGCGUAGAGAUCUGAAGGAAUACCGGUGGCGAAGGCGGCCCCCUGGACAGAUACUGACACUCAGAUGCGAAAGCGUGGGGAGCAAACAGGAUUAGAUACCCUGGUAG
RNAcentral lists this ribosomal RNA (463 nucleotides) under uncultured bacterium. RNAcentral describes it as "bacterial SSU rRNA". It matches the Rfam family "Bacterial small subunit ribosomal RNA", at positions 338 to 793 of the family's 1533-position model. The record is from RNAcentral.